RNAcentral lists this ribosomal RNA (409 nucleotides) under uncultured bacterium. Its description in RNAcentral is "bacterial SSU rRNA". It matches the Rfam family "Bacterial small subunit ribosomal RNA", at positions 29 to 424 of the family's 1533-position model. The record is from RNAcentral.
AACGAACGCUGGCGGCGUGGAUAAGACAUGCAAGUCGAACGGAAUUACUUUUGUAGCAAUACAGAAGUAAUUCAGUGGCGAACGGGUGCGUAACACGUGGGCAAUCUGCCGAAAAGUGGGGGAUAGCUCGCCGAAAGGCGAAUUAAUACCGCAUGUGGUGAGGGACGACAUCUUCCUGAAUCCAAAGCCGGGGCAACCUGGCGCUUUUUGAGGAGCCCGCGGCCUAUCAGCNGUUGGCGGGGUAACGGCCCACCAAGGCUAUGACGGGUAGCUGGUCUGAGAGGACGACCAGUCACACUGGAACCGAGACACGGUCCAGACACCUACGGGUGGCAGCAGUCGAGAAUUUUUCUCAAUGGGGGCAACCCUGAAGGAGCGACGCCGCGUGGAGGAUGAAGGCUUUCGGGUU